This is a long non-coding RNA of Ipomoea triloba (trilobed morning glory), 572 nucleotides long. RefSeq lists it as uncharacterized. NCBI's taxonomy places the organism in Eukaryota, Viridiplantae, Streptophyta, Magnoliopsida, Solanales, Convolvulaceae. The record is from RefSeq and is a predicted model, not a curated record. The transcript is spliced from 2 exons.
UCCUUCUUCUUCUUGCCUCUCCUAUCGGCAACCACCACCCCCUCCACCAAAUCUCACCAUUUCCUUCCAUCUACUCCCUCUAUCUUCGUGUCUUCCUCUUUCGACCAAGCAGUCGCUCGCCUCUUCCUUCCCUAUCUUGUGUCUUUCUUCAUCCGGCGGCUUGCAAUGAACGGAGCAGUGAUUGGCAUCCUCUCUUGUCGACAAUAACAGUUCGGCCAACAGCGGCGUCUUUUGCUCUUCCUCCGUCAGCAACGAAGCAGCGGGCCUCAGUAAUGGCGGUGUCCAUCUCUUCUGUCUCCAACAUUGCAGCAGCAAGAACAGGCAGUGGCAGUUCGAGGCUGCGACAACGCUAACGGAAAUUUCUAACUAUCUGGAAUCAAACGCGACAGAGAGAGAAGAAGAAGCAGCUGUGUUUCUUUGUCAUAGAUUUUUUUUUUUUUUUGUUUUUAAAGAAGAAGAAUGAAAUCCAAUUAUUUGAAGAAUCAAUAUUCCAAAGUUAACUGAGGUAACAACAAAACCUUUCAUUGUACUAUCAAGAACAACAGAAUGAAAAUGUAUGGAGUAUUAUUCAA